This 229-nucleotide ribosomal RNA is filed under the name uncultured bacterium. RNAcentral's name for it is "partial 16S ribosomal RNA". It matches the Rfam family "Bacterial small subunit ribosomal RNA", at positions 130 to 353 of the family's 1533-position model. The record is from RNAcentral.
CGAUGACUCGGGGAUAGCCUUUCGAAAGAAAGAUUAAUACCCGAUGGCAUAGUUCUUCCGCAUGGUGGAACUAUUAAAGAAAUUUCGGUUCAUCGAGUGGGGAUGCGUUCCAUUAGGUUGUUGGCGGGGUAACGGCCCACCCAAGACCUUCGAUGGAUAGGGGUUCUGAGAGGAAGGUCCCCCACAUUGGAACUGAGACACGGUCCAAACUCCUACGGGAGGCAGCAUG